UACGUAGGGUGCGAGCGUUAAUCGGAUUUACUGGGCGUAAAGCGUGCGCAGGCGGCCCGUUAAGACAGGUGUGAAAUCCCUGGGCUCAACCUAGGAAUUGCGCUUGUGACUGGCGGGCUCGAGUACGGUAGAGGGGGGUGGAAUUCCUGGUGUAGCAGUGAAAUGCGUAGAGAUCAGGAAGAACACCGAUGGCGAAGGCAGCCCCCUGGGCCUGUACUGACGCUCAUGCACGAAAGCGUGGGGAGCAAACAGG
This 253-nucleotide ribosomal RNA is filed under the name uncultured microorganism. Its description in RNAcentral is "partial 16S ribosomal RNA". It matches the Rfam family "Bacterial small subunit ribosomal RNA", at positions 524 to 776 of the family's 1533-position model. The record is from RNAcentral.